This 253-nucleotide ribosomal RNA is filed under the name uncultured bacterium. RNAcentral's name for it is "partial 16S ribosomal RNA". It matches the Rfam family "Bacterial small subunit ribosomal RNA", at positions 524 to 776 of the family's 1533-position model. The record is from RNAcentral.
GACAGAGGUGCCAAGCGUUAGGCGGAAUCACUGGGCUUAAAGCGUGUGUAGGCGGACUUGUGAGUACCUUGUGAAAUCCCACGGCUCAACCGUGGAACUGCUUGGUAUACUGCUUGUCUUGAGCCACUUAGGGGCUACCGGAACAAAUGGUGGAGCGGUGAAAUGCGUAGAUAUCAGGAGGAACACCGGUGGCGAAGGCGGGUCUCUGGGCCGAUACUGACGCUGAGGAGCGAAAGCGUGGGGAGCGAACAGG